RNAcentral lists this unclassified non-coding RNA (253 nucleotides) under uncultured Planctomycetota bacterium. RNAcentral describes it as "uncultured planctomycete contains 16S-23S intergenic spacer region". It matches the Rfam family "Bacterial small subunit ribosomal RNA", at positions 524 to 776 of the family's 1533-position model. The record is from RNAcentral. Lineage: Bacteria; Pseudomonadati; Planctomycetota.
CACGUAGGUGGCGAGCGUUACUCGGAAUCACUGGGCAUAAAGCGCGCGUAGGCGGCCACGUAAGUCAGGUGUGAAAGCCCGCGGCUCAACCGCGGAACUGCGCCUGAUACUGCGUGGCUAGAGGCCGGUAGGGGAGAGUGGAAUUCCUGGUGGAGCGGUGAAAUGCGUUGAUAUCAGGAGGAACGCCGGUGGCGAAAGCGGCUCUCUGGUCCGGUUCUGACGCUGAGGUGCGAAAGCCAGGGGAGCAAACGGG